CUGCAGGAGUUGAUAACCCAUUGGCUCCUGAGAAACACGAUGUUGUUGACACAGAUAGGAAAGGGCUCAGCAAGAGGGAAAACUAUACAGAUCUCUGUCUCCGCAGAGCUGAAUAAGAAGAUUGACAAAGAACGAUCUAGAAGGUAAAGAUCAGCCGUCAGUCCCAGAUGCAGCUUUGAUUUCGAAUCCUCAGGGAAAGCCCUGCAGAUGCCCAGACUCCAGCGGUCCCACCUUUACCAAACCCUGUUCCCCAACACGCUAUGGCUGGUACCACAGUCUGCCAAUUGUAUGUUUGUCUCUCCUCCACCGUUCUAGUUAAAGUGUGGACCACCCCAAAGUCCAUCUGUCAUCACUGUUGUGAGAUUGUGCCCAGGUGCCUGGCAGCCACACAGCUUUGCUCCAUCUACACGGUUCAGUGAAUGAGGAAUGUGAGUCCUGGGUUCUACCAGAGAUGUCAAGGUGUGAAGCAAUCUUCAACCCUAAAUGGGCACCAGAGAGUUGCCUUGGAAGCAUUCUGCCCUCUGUCAGUUUCUCUAGGGAUACGCAGCAGCAAUCCCAUGACCCAUCACAGCCAAUCAAGUUAAAACUCUCCUCCUGCUAAAUGACCUGAAGACCUUCCUCUUCAAUGAACCUGAACUACCUCCUCCCAACCAAGACCCUCCCAAUCUCAGGAUUUCCUACCAUUGAGACCAUGCCUACAGUGCAGCCCCACCCCUAGACUUUUACCCACAUUCAGCAGGAAGAAGCUCCCCCCAGAAACCUCUGACCUUAUUUCAAGAACCCCUAUACUUAUGAAACCACUCUUUAUCUCUUAAGAAUUGGGAUAUGUCAGAAUAAACCUUGAAAAGA
This is a long non-coding RNA of Mastomys coucha (southern multimammate mouse), 849 nucleotides long. RefSeq lists it as uncharacterized. The record is from RefSeq and is a predicted model, not a curated record. The transcript has 4 exons. Lineage: Eukaryota; Metazoa; Chordata; Mammalia; Rodentia; Muridae.